Molecule: non-coding RNA, 788 nt
Filed under: Sadoletus valdezi
Lineage: Eukaryota; Metazoa; Arthropoda; Insecta; Hemiptera; Heterogastridae
Source: RNAcentral
GAUUGAUUCUGUCUUAUUUAUGUAGUUAGUUUUAUUUCGAUGCAUUUAUAUGUAAACUUUUGUUUGAUUUUUAUAAUAACUUAAUGUUUUUGUAAUUUUCAUUUGUUCGCAGUUUUUAAUUUUAUUUUUUAGUUUUACGCUAGAAUUAGGUAAUUAUUUUUAGAGUUGUUUAUUAUUGUGCCAGCAAACGCGGUUAUACAAUUAACUCAAAUUAAUUUUUAUUUGUUUAUAUUAAGUUAUUUGUUGUUGAGUAAAUUUUAUUUAUUUUUAGGUGAAAUUUUAAUUUAUAUUUUUUCUUUGGUUUAAUAUUUAUAUGAAUAUCAUUGUUUAAACUAGGAUUAGAUACCCUAUUAUUUUUGAUUGUAAUUUUUAAACAUAGUAUUAAUAGUUAUGAUCUUGAAAUUAAAAGGAUUUGGCGGUAAUUUAAUCUUUUCAGAGGAACCUGUUCUGUAAUCGAUAAUCCACGAUGAAUUUUACUUUAAUUUUUGUUUAUAUAUCUCUGUCAUUGAAUGUUUUAUUAGAAUUAUUUUCUUUAAUUAUUAUUUGGAUAAUGUCAGGUCAAGGUGUAAUUAUAUUAAAGGUUGAAAUGGGUUACAUUUAAUGUUUAUUUAUUGGAAUUAAUUAUUUGGUAUAGUUUAAUUAAAUUGGAUUUGAAAGUAAAAUGUAUUUAUUUUUUAUGUUUGAUUUUGGCUCUAAAUUAUGUACAUAUCGCCCGUCACUCUCGUUAAUUGUUAAAAUGAGAUAAGUCGUAACAAAGUAAUUCUACUGGAAAGUGGAGUUUGAAUUAU